RNAcentral lists this long non-coding RNA (1590 nucleotides) under Theobroma cacao (cacao). RNAcentral describes it as "long non-coding RNA (TCAC_LNC006019)". Lineage: Eukaryota; Viridiplantae; Streptophyta; Magnoliopsida; Malvales; Malvaceae. The record is from RNAcentral.
AGCUUUUGGAAAGAAGUUCAAAGUUACAAAGCUAUCAAGGUGAGUAGUAAACUAGUAUUGGGUUUUAAGUGUUGAGAAUGACUAGAGAUUUGAUUUGUGAAUAUUUUGUAGUUGAGAUUGUUAAUUCACUUUGGAGUGAUAGGAAAGUGAAAAUGGAUGGCCAUUUAAAUGGCAAUUGAAAGCUAGCUAAAAGAUAGCUUUUAGGGUUUAUAGUAUGUAAAUUGACAUUAUGGAAAUGUUAAUUUGAUGGUAGGUGUUAACGAAGCCCCAUCACCCCAAUUGGAUCAUUAGGGGGAUUAAGAGUCGGCUAAAGGCUCAACGAAUACCGGUGAGUGGACUUGCAUUUUAAACUUAUUUUGGGGAAUAUGAAAGAUUCUAUCCAACUUGUCUUAGAAAAUGUACCUUGGGAACAAGCUUUUAAUAAAAUGAUUUUAUAUUGUGAAAAUGUGUUAUACAAUGGUUUAUGUGUUAUCACAAUAUGGUAUAAUGCAUGAUAUGCAUUGGAUGCUUCUUUUCAUGUUGAUGUGGACCCGGCUAUGUGCGAGUGGGAGUGCACAUAAGCCGUUGCUGACCUGACUAUGUGCGAGUGGGAGUGCACAUAAGCCGUUGCUGACCUAGCUAUAUGCGAAUGGGAGUGCACAUAAGCCGUUGCAUAUGAGAUGAUGACGAUGGGAAGGUGUACAUGAUGAUUGAUAUAUAUAUAUACAUAUAUGGUAUAUGGUUGUAAAUGCAAAUAUGUGAGCAUUUGAUUUGUUGAAAUUUGGGAGUUUACAUGUGUUACAUGUUGCUAUUGUUAUUUUAGCAAGAUGGCUUGUUUUAAAGGAAAAUGAGACUUUUUCCUUGAUGUUCUGACUCUCGCUACAGCGAGAAACUCUCGGGUUUGAGGACCUUCACCAGACCUGGUUCUCGCUGCAGCGAAAAUGAAGUUCGCUGCGAGAAACUUUUUGUCCAUUUUGGCUAACUUGUGGGUUUUGCUAUAUUUUUCGAUUCUUUGGUACCAUAGUUGAGUACGGAUCUUUUAAGUGAUUUACUCAUGAGGGGUUUACAUGAGGGGUUCUACUAAGAACUAGAACCAAUUGCAAUGUUUUGCAAAAGGAAUGCAUCAUGAUUUUGUUAAAAAUCCCUUAUGGUAUGCUUGUUCCCUUCCUUGUUCAGUCACUGGGUUUAUACUCACCGUUUUCAACUUCAUGUUUUUAGAUCACGAGGCAGCUGGUAACUAGGUCAAAGUGUCUUUAUAUAUUCGACCCUUGGUAGGUGUCUCGGCAUUCAGUAGCUGUACAUUCAUCAGAGUCUCUCCGCUGGAAGUCGAGUAUUCUUUUGUUGUGUAUAGACAAGCUUAAUGUAAAUUAUUAAGAUACAUGUUGUCUACAAUGUAUAUACACUUGUUUGGUAUGCUAGUAUGAGGUGGCAAUGUUCAAUAUUAUUUUGAUUCUAAGUUAUGAAAUAUGACUUAAUAGUUUAUGAUGGAAUGAUGAACAUGUCAGAUUAAUAGGCUUGCUUGGGCUUAGUGGACUACGUCCAUUGGGCCCAUGUGUCGGUCAUGGCCCGAAAUUUGGGUCGUGACAUACACCCUCUAAUCUUUUAAAUCAG